RNAcentral lists this ribosomal RNA (253 nucleotides) under uncultured bacterium. Its description in RNAcentral is "partial 16S ribosomal RNA". It matches the Rfam family "Bacterial small subunit ribosomal RNA", at positions 524 to 776 of the family's 1533-position model. The record is from RNAcentral.
UACGUAGGGGGCAAGCGUUGUCCGGAAUCAUUGGGCGUAAAGAGCGUGUAGGCGGCCCGGUAAGUCCGCUGUAAAAGUCAAAGGCUCAACCUUUGAAUGUCAGUGGAUACUGCCGGGCUAGAGUCCGGAAGAGGCGAGUGGAACUCCUGGUGUAGCGGUGGAAUGCGCAGAUAUCAGGAGGAACACCGGUGGCGAAGGCGGGUCUCUGGGCCGAUACUGACGCUGAGGAGCGAAAGCAUGGGUAGCGAACAGG